GCCAGCCAAAACAAGGAUGUCUGUGGACCCUGAGUGGGGUACACAGCCUAACCCCAGAACCAUGGAGAGCCAUGGUCACCUUGUCCGUCUCUAGUACCCUUUACACUCCUGCUUUUCUCAGAAACAGACACUGAGUGAGUACAGAAAUGCCAAAAUGUAAAGCAAAUGAAGCCAUGGUACAGAUGCAGAAAAGGUUAUACCAACAUCCAGGUCUGACGGGUUCGUCCUAGCCUGGCCUCUCUGGUCCUUCACUGAUGUUGUAUAGCCCAGACUGGGACCAAUUUAAUUCUGUGCACUUAAUGUCCAGUGCAGACCUGACAACCAGCCAGAAUUAUUAAUACAUUGAUUAAAAUUCAUAUAAUGAACA
This 367-nucleotide long non-coding RNA is filed under the name Mus spretus (western wild mouse). Its description in RNAcentral is "predicted gene, 49791 (ENSMSPG00010043490.1)". Lineage: Eukaryota; Metazoa; Chordata; Mammalia; Rodentia; Muridae. The record is from RNAcentral.